Molecule: ribosomal RNA, 403 nt
Filed under: Fusobacteriota bacterium
Lineage: Bacteria; Fusobacteriati; Fusobacteriota
Description: Fusobacteria bacterium partial 16S ribosomal RNA
Rfam family: Bacterial small subunit ribosomal RNA
Source: RNAcentral
UGGGGAAUCUUGCACAAUGGGGGAAACCCUGAUGCAGCGACGCCGCGUGAGCGAUGAAGGUUCUCGAAUCGUAAAGCUCUGUCCUAUGGGAAGAUAAUGACGGUACCAUGGGAGGAAGCCCCGGCUAACUACGUGCCAGCAGCCGCGGUAAUACGUAGGGGGCGAGCGUUGUCCGGAAUUACUGGGCGUAAAGGGUUCGCAGGCGGCAUGGCAAGUCCGAUGUAAAAGGCGAAGGCUCAACCUUCGUAAGCAUCGGAAACUGUCAAGCUUGAGUGAAGGAGAGGCAAGUGGAAUUCCUAGUGUAGCGGUGGAAUGCGUAGAUAUUAGGAGGAAUACCGGUGGCGAAGGCGACUUGCUGGACUUCAACUGACGCUGAGGAACGAAAGCGUGGGUAGCAAACAGG